This is a long non-coding RNA of Atta colombica, 549 nucleotides long. RefSeq lists it as uncharacterized. Lineage: Eukaryota; Metazoa; Arthropoda; Insecta; Hymenoptera; Formicidae. The transcript has 3 exons. The record is from RefSeq and is a predicted model, not a curated record.
CAAGAAGAUAGAGAAGAUAUCGUCUAUUUCAUUUUUAUAUUUAUAAGAUAAGAUAUCUCGCGAACUGUAAGAAAUGUAGGAAUCAUAGGCGACUUGUGGCAUCUUCUGGAGUUCCUUCAAAACAAGAAGAAGAAAUGAUCGUGCCGAUGAGCUCACGUGCGUGAUACUCCUAUUCGCGAGGAUAUCGUCGAAACACCGCCCACCUUAUCGCCGCCGCAAGGAAAAAAACUAGUGGCGAACCGAUCGGAGCUGCUGAAUCUGGACACUUACCAGCCUAUUUGUCGCAACGAGUGAAUUAUUAUAUUGUCGAUCUCCUCCAUCCUACGUAAAAAGAUGAAAAUUCUGAGGCGCCGCUACCGCCCCGUUGUAUCGCGUGUUUAUGAAGUCCGGCUCGAUUUAAUCAUCAGGAUCUAACCUUCCGGCGAGCGUGACAAGCGCUCGCGAACGGACUUUUGCACAGUGCAUGUGAUACAGGUAUAUGUGGCGUGGCAACAUUUCAAUACUGCUAAUAGUCAAUCGGAGGUAUUUUUGCGAAUUUUCUGACAGCGG